AAGCCAGGAGUUUAGAAGUAGAGGCUAUCCUAAACAUGUCAUCAAAAAGGCAUUAAUUAAAGCUGAAAAAACUGAUAGAACCACCCUACUGAAAGAAUCUGCUAAACCAACUAAAAAUCAAAUUAUCUGGACACAAGAAUUAUCACAUUACUCCAAACACAUAAUCCAAAUUAUAAAAAAACACUGGCAUCUUCUUCAAGAUAUUUCAGGUUGCGAUAAAUUACCUAUUUUUGGAAACAGGCGUACUAAAAAUAUUAGAGAAUAUUUAAUCCAUACAGAUUUAACCACUCCUAUUAGUACACCAAAGAGCACCCUGAGAGGCCAUUAUCCUUGUGGUCACUGUAAGUGUUGUCCUCAAUCUUGGAAGACUAAGGAGAUAUAUAAUCAUAGGAACAAAGUGGGCACCACACUAAAACAUUUUUCUACUUGUAAUAGCAACAAUGUAAUCUACCUCUUGACAUGUGACUGUGAUCUCUGGUAUAUUGGAAAAACAACCAGAUCCUUGAGAAUCAGAAUCUCUGAACAUAAAUCCAGAAUCAAAAAUUUAUCUACAGAAUCUCUUUUAUAUUCACACUUCACCCAAUACAAACAUUCACCUACCUCAUUUAAAUUUUGUGUUCUGGAAUGCAUCUCUCAAAAACCUUUCAUGGACUUGGAAAAACUAUUAUCCCAAAGGGAAAUGUACUGGAUCUUUAAGUUUAAAACCUUUUCCCCUCAGGGACUUAAUGAAUCACUUAAUUUUAGCUGUUUCCUUUAAACCUUCAAGUACUCUUUAAAAACCCUUGAGUGAACCUCCAGAAUUACUCGCAGUUGAAAUCACCACAAGCAGAGUCACUCAGUGAAAGCAUUUAGCACUAUGUAAGUAUAUACUGUUAUAUGGGUUACUUUUACUUCUGUUAAUACUGCUGGUAAAAUACUUGUUACUCUAUGUUUUGUUUUAGAUAGAAAUUCAUUGUUGCUGAGUUUAACAACUCCUGAAGAAGGGGUUUUCCCCUGAAACAGGGUCAAAAAUACCCGGGACCCCUGUAGAGAAUUGGGACUUUAUUUGUACUUUACUUUUGAAGACUUUUUUGAGAGCGGUGCUCCAUCAUUAUUUUCUUCAAUCAAAUAUACAGCAACUUUUUGACAAUCGUUCGUUUGUGUGUAUAGAUACUCUACAAGUAUUCUGGGACUUUGUAUAGUAACUUAGCCAUAUCACUAUGGAUGACUGGCUCGGUACAUUGAGCUUUGAUAAAGAAGAUAUUAUGUCUCUUACUAAAAACAGGUCGGUCAUUGACCAUGUACCAGCAGCUGAGUCCUCCCAGACCAGCAAUUUACUUUAUGAUUUAGAAAAAUUGAAAAAAAGAAACAUUCGUUUGGAUCUCCAUGCAUCCACAUUAGCUGAUUAUAUAAAACACAAUAUGAUCCCCAGAGGAUUAAGGAUAUAUAAACCACCUGGCAUGUUCAAAGAAGAUAAAGAUUUUUUACAACAAUGGGUUAAAAUUUUAAACAAAUGUUCCUUGGAUCUGAUGGCAUUAUUGAUUAUGAAAUCCAAUGCCACCAUUAAGGAUGGAGAAAAUAAAAUUACCAAUCUCAUGGAAAACAUUACGAAAGAUACAACCUCUGCUACCAUGUUGGAGACUCUUGACAAAAAAUGUAGUGACCUGUACAAUCAGGUGAAGGAAUUUAAAAUUAAAAAGUUUGAAAGAGAUCGUCAUGAUUACCAGUCCAAUCGAGUCUACCCAUGGUUAUUGGACAAAGAUCAAGUUUCCUCUAAGAGAAAAGUCAGAUUCCAUCCUCAAUUUACAGACUCCUCUACCGAGGAAGACCCAGGAAGGACAACUGAAAGCUCUGAAGUCUCUGACUCACCACCUUUAAGAAGAUCCUCCAGACAUAAGAAUAGGACUCUACCAUCAUCCUCAUCCUCAAUUUUUUUUCCAAGGGACCGAAAUCGGAGACACCGAACCUGAUUGUUAAUUUAUCCGAUUAUAAGUUAUCUGAUGUAGAAAGGUCAAUAGUAAACAAAGGUCUAUCAUUUGUUCCCACCCCUAAAUUUAAUGCAUUUCGAGCACGAAUAGAUUUAUUCAAGCUAUUUAGAACCAUCCGCUUAAGAGACAUGUUUAAAGACAGCAUAUCCAACACAACCACAGAUCCUUUCAAACCCAAAAGUACCUUCUGCCCUUCCACAGAUAACAUUUACAUUAAAUGCUUUGAAAAAGCUGUAGAGAGGGACUUUAACAAGCUAACUACUCGUAGACAACCAUACCACUCAAAUUUAUCAGAAUUAGAAAGAACCACUCUGGUCAAAUUGAGCAACCUCAAAGAGGUAGUCUGGAAACCAGCAGAUAAAGGGGGAGCUAUAGUAUUACUUAACAAAAGAGAUUAUAUUAAGGAAGUCAACCUCCAGUUAUCAAAUAGUAAAUUCUACCAACCUAUUGCAACAGACCCCACUAAACACAUUCAGUCCCUUAUUAGGGUGGUGUGUCAAGAGGGAUUAUCCAUGGGAUUUAUCUCUUCUUCUACAUUUAAAUACUUACAAAAUGACUUCCCUAGGAUACCUAUCUUUUAUAUUCUUCCUAAGAUUCAUAAAGGCAUCAUUCCACCCCCAGGCCGACCUAUUAUUUCUGGUUCAUCUUCUGUAUUGGAACCAGUUGCUAAAUAUCUAGACUCCUUUUGCCAACCAUUUGUCCCUCUCUGUGAUUCCUACAUUAAAGACACAAAGCACUUCAUUAAUAUCGUAGAAAAUCUCAAUAUUGAGGAGGACAGCAUUUUAGUUACGAUUGAUGUCACCUCACUCUAUACUAACAUUCCACUAGAUGAGGCUCGUACCAUUAUAGAAAAUAUCCUUCGUAGGAGAACAAAGUUGCAACCACCUACACACUUCUUGAUGGACUUGUUAGAUAUAGUACUAGAGAAAAAUUAUUUCCGUUUUCAAAACCAAUUUUACUUUCAGACCUUCGGUGUCGCUAUGGGAAGUCCGUUAGCUCCAUCGAUUGCCAAUCUAUUCAUGGCACAUUUAGAAAACACUAUAUUGCAUAAUCCAUCUUUAAAUAUGUACUAUUCUAAUAUAAUAUACUAUGGCCGAUUCAUUGAUGAUAUAUUCAUAGUAUUUAAAACAACUGAAGCCGCAGUAGGAUUCUCUAAUUGGAUUAACACUAUACAUACGUCUAUUAAAUUUACCAGUCAUCUCAACCUGUCACAUAUCAAUUUUUUAGAUGUUACUGUGUAUAAACAUCAUAACAAACUGUUGGUCAAGAACUUCAGAAAACCAUCAGAUAAGAAUUCUUUUCUUCAUUAUAACAGCUUCCACCACUUUGGUUUAAAGACCAAUCUUCCAUUUUCACAACUACUUAGACUAAAGCGUAACUCAAGCUCUAAUGAACAUUUCAUUCAUGAAAGCCUGACCUUAAGCCAGGAGUUUAGAAGUAGAGGCUAUCCUAAACAUGUCAUCAAAAAGGCAUUAAUUAAAGCUGAAAAAACUGAUAGAACCACCCUACUGAAAGAAUCUGCUAAACCAACUAAAAAUCAAAUUAUCUGGACACAAGAAUUAUCACAUUACUCCAAACACAUAAUCCAAAUUAUAAAAAAACACUGGCAUCUUCUUCAAGAUAUUCCAGGUUGCGAUAAAUUACCUAUUUUUGGAAACAGGCGUACUAAAAAUAUUAGAGAAUAUUUAAUCCAUACAGAUUUAACCACUCCUAUUAGUACACCAAAGAGCACCCUGAGAGGCCAUUAUCCUUGUGGUCACUGUAAGUGUUGUCCUCAAUCUUGGAAGACUAAGGAGAUAUAUAAUCAUAGGAACAAAGUGGGCACCACACUAAAACAUUUUUCUACUUGUAAUAGCAACAAUGUAAUCUACCUCUUGACAUGUGACUGUGAUCUCUGGUAUAUUGGAAAAACAACCAGAUCCUUGAGAAUCAGAAUCUCUGAACAUAAAUCCAGAAUCAAAAAUUUAUCUACAGAAUCUCUUUUAUAUUCACACUUCACCCAAUACAAACAUUCACCUACCUCAUUUAAAUUUUGUGUUCUGGAAUGCAUCUCUCAAAAACCUUUCAUGGACUUGGAAAAACUAUUAUCCCAAAGGGAAAUGUACUGGAUCUUUAAGUUUAAAACCUUUUCCCCUCAGGGACUUAAUGAAUCACUUAAUUUUAGCUGUUUCCUUUAAACCUUCAAGUACUCUUUAAAAACCCUUGAGUGAACCUCCAGAAUUACUCGCAGUUGAAAUCACCACAAGCAGAGUCACUCAGUGAAAGCAUUUAGCACUAUAUAGAAAUUCAUUGUUGCUGAGUUUAACAACUCCUGAAGAAGGGGUUUUCCCCUGAAACAGGGUCAAAAAUACCCGGGACCCCUGUAGAGAAUUGGGACUUUAUUUGUACUUUACUUUUGAAGACUUUUUUGAGAGCGGUGCUCCAUCAUUAUUUUCUUCAAUCAAAUAUACAGCAACUUUUUGACAAUCGUUCGUUUGUGUGUAUAGAUACUCUACAAGUAUUCUGGGACUUUGUAUAGUAUCAACAGUUUGCCACCACAUGUUAAAAGAACCGUGUGAGAACUUGCCAUGUUCCUGUUCAAGCUGCCUGAUAGUUAGGAGAGAAUUUAAUUUCCAUGUGAACAAUGAUAGAAUCAGUCCAGUUUUAGAAGGAAGGAAGGUGCACUAGAAACUCAAGAGAAGAAUCACUUCUGCUAUUAGACAUCUUACAUGGUAUAUACUUAAAUGUUACUUCAGGAAAGGGGGAGGGUGGCAGCUUCAUGAAUGUAAUUUUCAACUUUUUUUCUGUUUUAUCCAGUGUUGCCUGGUGUCUUGUAUUUUAAGGAAUAGAUCUUUAUUUCAAACAAAUUUCCUGUGGGCCCUGCCUAAGUGUGCCCUCAAGCCAAUCAUGCUGGCACCAAGACCUAUCCCUACCCUUUUGGCUUGCCUUUUCAAUCAAAGGGCAGACCAAAAGGGUGGGGCAGGCCUCGGUGCCAGUGCAAGGACAAUGAGGGUGAGCCUAGGCUUAUGCCAGUGGCAGGCGCAUGCUGGGUGGGGCAGUUGUGGUGGCAGUUGCCAAGGAAAAUCACCUCAGCAACUGCCACACCCCUACCAGGCACGUGCCCACUGUGGCUCAGCCCAGAUGCGCCCUCAUUGGCCCCUGCCCAGAACCACACACACACCCCCCCCACACACACACACUGGGUGCCUCUUAUUUUUACAAUACACAUCUGGCAACCCUGGUUUGAACACACAAUUUUCAGCUUUUUUCUGUUGGAUCACUAAGUUUUAUGCUAUAUUCCGCUGUUGGAGAUGUGUAUGUGAAUGCUGGUUCCCAUUCUCUCUGGGUUUUAGCCUAAACAUCAAUGGAGCUAUCAACAGUACUGAACCGACUUUGGGAACCUUGGACAGCUCCCUCAGAGUAGGGUUCCUCAGAUUAACUUUCAGCACCUUUUCUUUCAUCAAACUAUUCAGAUGCCACUCUUUCUGCACAUAAAAUGCAAAAGAAGAUCCUUCUUGUUAUUUCAUCCAGACAGCAAAAUAUUCUAGACUAGUAUUGCCAGCAGGAGCUUCUGCCAAUCUUUCCAGAGUAAUUUAGGAGUAAAGAACCCUAGGCCAUUAAAUCUUGUUGGGCUACAAUGCUCAAAAUCCCAAAUCAUUGUUCAUGCUGUGUAGGGCAAAUGGGAGUUAUAGACAAGAUACAACCACCUCAUUUAAAAUGCCUCUGUACUUGAUGGACAACUAGUCUGGUAAAGAUAUAGGGCACAUUAUUGGUUGCACAUCAACGUUUUGGUAGUAUGCUGUUGAAUUUGAAUUUUACCAAAGAGCAAACACAUUACUCUGGUUAAAGGCAGAUGACUAAAAAAAUUAAACUAUUGAAACAUCAAAAUAUAUUAGCUAUUUGGAGUUCUUCAUAUUUUGAGGCUAUAAUCUUAAACACAACAAAAGAGGAAGAAAACCCCUUUCAAAACAUUGGCAUCUUUUUAAUAAAAAAGCAUUAAUGGAAUUACACUGUAAAUGAAUUCAGAAGAAGUGGUUGCAAUUUUCAUUACAACUAUCUCAAGCAAAAUUUGUUCACUGACAUCUAUUAGGCCACUCAUUUACAGGUAACAAAUUAGAGUCUAUAUGCAGUCAUAUAGGAAACCAACCAAAAGAGAUGACAAAAGAAAAUGCAUAUCAAAGAAUUUGUUUCCAGACUGAAAAUCCAAGCAUCAAUAACUCUCACAUAUCCCACAAUUUUAACUACUUCACUUUAAUAUGUGACUUAUAAUAAUAACACAGGUAUCAUUUUCCAACAGUGGAACAGCGAGAUAGUCCAGGAGUGAUUUAUUGUUGCUAUUUUUAUUUUUAUCUGAACACAGAACUCAGAUAUCAAUUAGUGUAAUUUAACACAUAGCCUUUGUAGAUUGAUUAAUUAGUAAGGCACCCCGAGUCCCAUCAUAACAUUAAUUUGUAAGAUACCUUGAGAAUCACCAUCAGAGUUGUGCCAAAGAUUUUACUGGAGCUCUUUAUGGCAAAGAAAAGUGAGUUCUCACUGUAAGUUUAGUACUAUAAGAAGGAACUGAAACUGGGCAAACUUCCUCAAGGGCUUCUCCUUUCUUGACACUUUUUUAUAUACAGUUGUUUAGGUUAUCCAUCACAGCAUGCCAAGAACUAGACCACAGGUCCAUUUUGUGCCUGAACAGAGAACAGCAUGUGAAACUAAUGAUAACAGGAGCACAUUAAUUGUUCCCUAUUUCUCAGUCUCCUCUCGGCAACUAGAGUGCAUAAGUUAUUUCUUAUAAAUAAUAUAGCUUCUCACUGCUUAACCCACUUAGUCAGAUGUGUCAAUCAGCUUGACUAUCUCUUUCAUCCCUCCUUAGUGCUUUCAAAAGGGGCAGAAAAGUGGAACUCUCAUGUGUUAGACAGCCAAAAGUGGGGGAAUCCAAGAAGAUUAAAAAUAGAUCCCAAUGGGCAAAGCUGAACAUACUGAAUAAAUCUGUGUGUGUGUGUGUGUGGCUAGCAUUAAGUUGGUAUUGUUUAUUAUGGAUUGAUGAUGAUAAAUGGAAGCUCUUACAUGUGCCCGCAAUCCAGAGUCACCCACAGAACAAUAACGUGCCACUCAGCUUAGCAGGACAAAAAUACAGAAACUUUACUAAUUCCAAAAGAUUAAAAAAAAAACCAGUAGUAUUUACAAUAGUCUCUCUGAUCGCUUACAGAAGUCCAUAAUCAUAAACAGUCCUUUCUCAGUCCACAAAUCUGCUUCAGAGAAGAAUACCAUCCGGGUUCUUCCCCCUCUUUUCUCAACAGCAAACAGGCUUUAAAAUAGCAAGGCCUCUCUGAGUACACGGCUUUUUUCACCAGCAGUACUCAGUCAGCACUGAAAAAAAAAGCUUGUCCAAACUGGUUCUGCAGCAGCAGAACAGAAACAGUAUUAAAUCAAUCUCCAGGUCUUUGCAGGCUCAGCCAAUCGACUUCAUGCACUUCAUUUUCCAGUUAACACACAAAGCACAGUGCCUUUGCAAACCAUGACAUUGUUUACAAUUCUUCCAUGAAUUUAUGUAUAUACAGGCUGUUCCCAAGUUACAAACAUCUGACUUCCAGAUGACUCAUAGUUAAAAACAGGAGUUAGGCGACAGGAAGUGAGCGAAAUCUGCCCCUUGGAAGGGAAAUUUAUUCCCAAAAGAGUUAUCAUGGGAAAAGGUGUCUCCACUGAAGCUUUAUCACUAUUCUUUGUUUCCGCAACAAGCCAAACUUUUCAAAAUCCAAUUAUCUCAGAAAUAGAAAAUGAAAUCUUCUGAACAUGGGCACAGACAGCAAAACAAACACCACAGGGGUGUUAACCCUUCCCUAUGCUAUUCAAAGCACAUACAAACACACACACACACACACACAUAUAUAGCUGGAGUUAUACUUUAAAAAUGUACCUGUUCCGACUUACAAACAUAUUCAGCUUACAGAACCUACAGAACCUAUCUUGUUUGGGGAGUGCCUGUAUCUGAAAAAUGUGUGUGUAAUAGUAUAUGCAGUGAUGUAGUGUACAUUUUCUAUGAAACAACACAUAAAUAAUACUUCUGUCCAAUCUGUGUGGGUUUUGAAAAUUUUGUACACGGGACAUUAUGUUUUAGACAUAGAUAUCACUUUCUGCACAGUAUGUUGUGCCCUAUGCAGAAAAUGCUGUUUAGUGCACGAUAAAGCCGCAUGCAACUUUUGUGUAGAAUUAAUUCCGACCUGUGAAGAUUCUCAUUGGUCCAGGAUUUUCCUCAUCUAUGUUUCCUAACACAUCUUUGAUUAUUUUUAAUUAUCAUAUUUUUAAUAUUCUUUUAUAUCUUAGUAUGCACUGUCUGUCAAAUGAUAAUGCAUCUGUAGAUAAGGCAUUUUGCAUCAUUGUCUCCUAACUAUCCUGAAAUAUGUUUUUUCUUAAAGCUGAUGAGGCAUUGUUUUUUCAGUUUUUUGUUUAUUUGAAAUACAUCUGUGGCACGCAGUAUGUUCAACAAAUUCAAACAGUACAAGCAAGAACUACUUAAAUGCAUGUUUUUGCUCAAAAAUGACUAGCAAAAUGACUAGCAAAUGUAAUCACUAGACCAUAAACUAAAUGAAAGACAUCUCAAAUCAUUAAAUGCAAUACAAAUUAAAAAUGUUUUGAUAACAGUUUUGAAUGUGUGCCUAAACUGCACCCAAGUCAUGUUGUUGUUGUUGUUGUGACUGAGAGGUAUAUUAUUGAGAAUGGAGACUGCUACUGAAAAUUCCCUUUUCUGGGUUUUCACCAGUUGGAUCAAGGCAGGAUGCUGUAUAACUAAGACUACCUCUGCGGACAAUUGCAAUGGGUAACCAGAUUUAUAUGGAAGAAGGUGUUCUUCUGCAGUAGAUGCAGGGACAGAAAAAGUACUAUGAUUUCUUGACCAUAAAUUGUGUAGUCUGCAGCAUACAUUCUUCUUCUCUGUGCUCCAGGGCAUAUAUCCUCAAACUCUCUGAAAGUUAAAGAGAAAGAUUUACACAACAGCCUAGCAGAAUACUGGAGGCAUAGAUUAAAAGCAAAAUGUCAGUGCCCAGAAUGAUAGAGCUACAGUGACUGGGAAAGUGAAUUAUAACAUACAAGACUAUUUUCCUGGUAUUGUAGGCAACUUUGUAAAAGAAUAGCUCAGCUGUAGUCUGUGCAUGUGAGGCAAAGAGACAGA
Molecule: RNA transcript, 9102 nt
Organism: Anolis carolinensis (green anole)
Lineage: Eukaryota; Metazoa; Chordata; Lepidosauria; Squamata; Anolidae
Exons: 2
Source: RefSeq, a predicted model, not a curated record